AUACUCGCUUCAGCAGCACAUCUACUAAAAUUAAACAAUACAGAGACUAUCAGCACAGCCCCUGUGUAGGAAUGACACGCAAAUUUCAAGUGUUUUAUAUUUGAUUU
Small nuclear RNA from Microtus ochrogaster (prairie vole), 107 nucleotides. NCBI's taxonomy places the organism in Eukaryota, Metazoa, Chordata, Mammalia, Rodentia, Cricetidae. The record is from Ensembl.